CGCUGAUGCGUUGUUGGGUAGGGGAGCGUUCUGUAAGCCUGCGAAGGUGACCUGUGAGGGUUGCUGGAGGUAUCAGAAGUGCGAAUGCUGACAUAAGUAACGAUAAAGCGGGUGAAAAGCCCGCUCGCCGGAAGACCAAGGGUUCCUGUCCAACGUUAAUCGGGGCAGGGUGAGUCGACCCCUAAGGCGAGGCCGAAAGGCGUAGUCGAUGGGAAACGGGUUAAUAUUCCCGUACUUGGUGUUACUGCGAAGGGGGGACGGAGAAGGCUAUGUUGGCCGGGCGACGGUUGUCCCGGUUUAAGCGUGUAGGUGUGUGUUCCAGGUAAAUCCGGUUCACUUUAACACUGAGGCGUGACGACGAGGCACUACGGUGCUGAAGCAACAAAUGCCCUGCUUCCAGGAAAAGCCUCUAAGCAUCAGGUAACAUCAAAUCGUACCCCAAACCGACACAGGUGGUCAGGUAGAGAAUACCAAGGCGCUUGAGAGAACUCGGGUGAAGGAACUAGGCAAAAUGGUGCCGUAACUUCGGGAGAAGGCACGCUGACACGUAGGUGAAGUGAUUUACUCAUGGAGCUGAAGUCAGUCGAAGAUACCAGCUGGCUGCAACUGUUUAUUAAAAACACAGCACUGUGCAAACACGAAAGUGGACGUAUACGGUGUGACGCCUGCCCGGUGCCGGAAGGUUAAUUGAUGGGGUCAGCGCAAGCGAAGCUCCUGAUCGAAGCCCCGGUAAACGGCGGCCGUAACUAUAACGGUCCUAAGGUAGCGAAAUUCCUUGUCGGGUAAGUUCCGACCUGCACGAAUGGCGUAAUGAUGGCCAGGCUGUCUCCACCCGAGACUCAGUGAAAUUGAACUCGCUGUGAAGAUGCAGUGUACCCGCGGCAAGACGGAAAGACCCCGUGAACCUUUACUAUAGCUUGACACUGAACAUUGAGCCUUGAUGUGUAGGAUAGGUGGGAGGCUUUGAAGUGUGGACGCCAGUCUGCAUGGAGCCGACCUUGAAAUACCACCCUUUAAUGUUUGAUGUUCUAACGUGGACCCGUUACCCGGGUUGCGGACAGUGUCUGGUGGGUAGUUUGACUGGGGCGGUCUCCUCCUAAAGAGUAACGGAGGAGCACGAAGGUUGGCUAAUCCUGGUCGGACAUCAGGAGGUUAGUGCAAUGGCAUAAGCCAGCUUGACUGCGAGCGUGACGGCGCGAGCAGGUGCGAAAGCAGGUCAUAGUGAUCCGGUGGUUCUGAAUGGAAGGGCCAUCGCUCAACGGAUAAAAGGUACUCCGGGGAUAACAGGCUGAUACCGCCCAAGAGUUCAUAUCGACGGCGGUGUUUGGCACCUCGAUGUCGGCUCAUCACAUCCUGGGGCUGAAGUAGGUCCCAAGGGUAUGGCUGUUCGCCAUUUAAAGUGGUACGCGAGCUGGGUUUAGAACGUCGUGAGACAGUUCGGUCCCUAUCUGCCGUGGGCGCUGGAGAACUGAGGGGGGCUGCUCCUAGUACGAGAGGACCGGAGUGGACGCAUCACUGGUGUUCGGGUUGUCAUGCCAAUGGCACUGCCCGGUAGCUAAAUGCGGAAGAGAUAAGUGCUGAAAGCAUCUAAGCACGAAACUUGCCCCGAGAUGAGUUCUCCCUGAGACUUAGAGUCUCCUGAAGGAACGUUGAAGACGACGACGUUGAUAGGCCGGGUGUGUAAGCGCAGCGAUGCGUUGAGCUAACCGGUACUAAUGAACCGUGAGGCUUAACCUUACAACGCCGAAG
Molecule: ribosomal RNA, 1749 nt
Filed under: Salmonella enterica subsp. enterica serovar Heidelberg
Lineage: Bacteria; Pseudomonadati; Pseudomonadota; Gammaproteobacteria; Enterobacterales; Enterobacteriaceae
Description: partial 23S ribosomal RNA
Rfam family: Bacterial large subunit ribosomal RNA
Source: RNAcentral